UACGUAGGCAGCAAGCGUUGUUCGGAGUUACUGGGCGUAAAGAGUAUGUAGGCGGUUGCGUAAGUUCGGUGUGAAAUCUCCCGGCUCAACUGGGAGGGUGCGCCGAAAACUGCGUGGCUAGAGUGCGGGAGAGGAGAGCGGAAUUCCUGGUGUAGCGGUGAAAUGCGUAGAUAUCAGGAGGAACACCGGCGGUGUAGACGGCUCUCUGGACCGUUACUGACGCUGAGAUACGAAAGCGUGGGGAG
This 245-nucleotide ribosomal RNA is filed under the name uncultured bacterium. RNAcentral's name for it is "partial 16S ribosomal RNA". It matches the Rfam family "Bacterial small subunit ribosomal RNA", at positions 524 to 768 of the family's 1533-position model. The record is from RNAcentral.